UACGGGGGGGGCAAGCGUUACUCGGAAUUACUGGGCGUAAAGCGUGCGUAGGUGGUUUGUUAAGUCUGAUGUGAAAGCCCUGGGCUCAACCUGGGAAUUGCAUUGGAUACUGGCAGGCUAGAGUGCGGUAGAGGAUGGCGGAAUUCCCGGUGUAGCAGUGAAAUGCGUAGAGAUCGGGAGGAACAUCUGUGGCGAAGGCGGCCAUCUGGACCAGCACUGACACUGAGGCACGAAAGCGUGGGGAGCAAACAGG
This 253-nucleotide ribosomal RNA is filed under the name uncultured bacterium. RNAcentral describes it as "partial 16S ribosomal RNA". It matches the Rfam family "Bacterial small subunit ribosomal RNA", at positions 524 to 776 of the family's 1533-position model. The record is from RNAcentral.